RNAcentral lists this transfer RNA (57 nucleotides) under Bos taurus (domestic cattle). It matches the Rfam family "tRNA", at positions 8 to 63 of the family's 71-position model. From Rfam's summary of the family: Transfer RNA (tRNA) molecules are approximately 80 nucleotides in length. Their secondary structure includes four short double-helical elements and three loops (D, anti-codon, and T loops). Further hydrogen bonds mediate the characteristic L-shaped molecular structure. tRNAs have two regions of fundamental functional importance: the anti-codon, which is responsible for specific mRNA codon recognition, and the 3' end, to which the tRNAs corresponding amino acid is attached (by aminoacyl-tRNA synthetases). tRNAs cope with the degeneracy of the genetic code in two manners: having more than one tRNA (with a specific anti-codon) for a particular amino acid; and 'wobble' base-pairing, i.e. permitting non-standard base-pairing at the 3rd anti-codon position. RNAcentral also lists the same sequence under 4 other names. Lineage: Eukaryota; Metazoa; Chordata; Mammalia; Artiodactyla; Bovidae. The record is from Rfam by way of RNAcentral.
UGGCUCAGACAGUAAAGCGUCUGCCUGCAAUGCAGGAGACCCGGGUUUGAUUCCUGG